AAGUCGUAACAAGGUUUCCGUAGGUGAACCUGCGGAAGGAUCAUUACCGUGGGGAUUCGUCCCAUGAGAUAGCACCCUUGUUACUUGUAGUACUCUUGUUUCCUUCGGCGGGCGUUGCCCUGCCAGUAGGACAAUAAAAACCCUUUGUAGUAGCAGUAACUUCAGUUAAUAAUAAAUAUUAAAA
Molecule: unclassified non-coding RNA, 184 nt
Filed under: plant metagenome
Description: partial contains small subunit ribosomal RNA and internal transcribed spacer 1
Rfam family: Eukaryotic small subunit ribosomal RNA (bases 1-46)
Source: RNAcentral